This is a non-coding RNA of Perognathus longimembris pacificus (Pacific pocket mouse), 1117 nucleotides long. NCBI's taxonomy places the organism in Eukaryota, Metazoa, Chordata, Mammalia, Rodentia, Heteromyidae. The record is from the annotation of a RefSeq genome assembly.
AUGGGAAGCACCACAGCCCCAUCCGUCUUCCCCUUGGCUCCCAGCUGUGGAGCCCAUUCUGGCUCCACAGUGUCCCUGGGCUGCCUGGUCAGCGGCUACUUCCCCGAGCCGGUCACUGUGUCAUGGAACUCCGGAGCCUUGACCAGCGGUGUGCGCACCUUCCCAUCCGUUCUGCGCUCAGGGCUCUACUCGCUCAGCAGCAUGGUGACGGUGCCCUCCAGCACCUGGCCCAGCCAGACUGUCACCUGCAAUGUAGCCCACCCGGCCAGCAACACGAAGGUGGACAAGACCAUUGUGGCCAGACAAACAAAACCUGGUGGUGAAUGCACUUGUGAUAAUUGUACCAAGGGCCCAGACGUUAGACUUCUGGGAGGACCAUCUGUCUUCAUGUUUCCACCAAAGCCCCAGGACACCCUCACAAUUGCUCUGACCCCCAAGGUCACGUGUGUGGUAGUAGAUGUAAGCCAGGAAAACUCUGCAGUCCAGUUCAACUGGUUCAUGGACAAUGUGGAGGUACAAGGGGCCCAGACUCAGCCCCCGGAAGAGCAGUACAACAGCACAUUCCGUGUGGUCAGCGUCCUGCCCAUCCUGCACCAGGACUGGCUGUCAGGAAAGGAGUUCAAGUGCAAGGUCAACAACAACGACCUCCCAGCCCCCAUCGAGAAAACCAUCUCCAAAGUCAAAGGGCAAGCCCGUGAGCCACAAGUGUACACCUUUCCCCCACCAAGGGAGCAGUUGGCCAAUACAAAGUUCUCUCUGACCUGCCUGAUACAAGGAUUCUACCCUGCGGAUAUCUUUGUCGAAUGGAAGAGGAAUGGGAAGCCAGAGGAGAACUACAAGAACACCCCACCUGUCUUGGACUCUGAUGGGACCUACUUCCUCUACAGCAAGCUACAAGUAGACAAGAAUGCGUGGCAGAAAGGAGACACAUUCACCUGCUCGGUGAUGCAUGAGGCUCUGCACAACCACUUCACACAGAAGACCAUCUCCCGGUCUCCCGGUAAAUGAGAGCUGGGCCUCACAAUCCCUUACUUCCCUUCUGGGCCUCAGGUCCACACGAUGCUCACACUCAAUGCCACCCCCAACCAUGUCAAUAAAGCACCCAGUCAAUCCCUGA